RNAcentral lists this RNase P RNA (397 nucleotides) under Bacteroidota bacterium. RNAcentral describes it as "Bacteroidetes bacterium RNase P RNA component class A". It matches the Rfam family "Bacterial RNase P class A". From Rfam's summary of the family: Ribonuclease P (RNase P) is a ubiquitous endoribonuclease, found in archaea, bacteria and eukarya as well as chloroplasts and mitochondria. The record is from RNAcentral. Lineage: Bacteria; Pseudomonadati; Bacteroidota. RNAcentral also lists the same sequence under 1 other name.
UUGACAAGCUAUUCCAUCGCCUCUUUUUCUUUUGAAAUUGGGGAGGAAAGUCGGGACAGCGCAGGGCAUCCUGCUUCUUAGAUAGAAGGAUUGGCCAUUGGCCAAUACAGACAGUGCCGCAGAGAAGGUAACCUAUGUUGUUACUCUGUAACUUCAGGUGAAUGUGAAAACGUGAGGUAAGAGCUCACGCUCUGUGAUGGUAACAUCUCAGAGGGGUAAACCUCAGGAGCUGCAAGAUCAAAUAAACCAGUACUCCGCUUAGGCGGAUAAGGGCUGCCCGCCCGAAACUGGUGGGUAGAUUGCUACAGGUAACGGGUGACUGUUAUCGCAGAUAAAUGAUGGAAACUACUGCUUUUGCAGUGGAUUACAGAAUCCCGCUUAUUGGCUUGUCAAUCAU